GUGGGGAAUUUUGCGCAAUGGGGGAAACCCUGACGCAGCGACGCCGCGUGAAGGAUGAAGGUCUUCGGAUUGUAAACUUCUUUUGUCGGGGAAGAUAAUGACGGUACCCGAUGAAUAAGCCACGGCUAACUCUGUGCCAGCAGCCGCGGUAAGACAGAGGUGGCAAGCGUUGUUCGGAAUUACUGGGCUUAAAGGGCGCGUAGGCGGUGGAGUAAGUCUGAGGUGGAAGAUCAGGGCCUAACCCUGAAAUUGCCUUGGAAACUGCAUCACUUGAGUCAGCGAGGGGAUGGCGGAAUUCCAGGUGUAGCGGUGAAAUGCGUAGAUAUCUGGAGGAAGGCCGGUGGCGAAGGCGGCCAUCUGGCGCUGAACUGACGCUGAGGCGCGAAAGCGUGGGGAGCAAACAGGAUUAGAUACCCCAGUAGUCC
Molecule: ribosomal RNA, 425 nt
Filed under: uncultured bacterium
Lineage: Bacteria
Description: bacterial SSU rRNA
Rfam family: Bacterial small subunit ribosomal RNA
Source: RNAcentral